Molecule: transfer RNA, 77 nt
Filed under: Candidatus Uhrbacteria bacterium CG10_big_fil_rev_8_21_14_0_10_50_16
Lineage: Bacteria; Candidatus Uhriibacteriota
Description: tRNA-Arg
Rfam family: tRNA
About the family: Transfer RNA (tRNA) molecules are approximately 80 nucleotides in length. Their secondary structure includes four short double-helical elements and three loops (D, anti-codon, and T loops).
Source: RNAcentral
GUACCCGUAGCUCAGCUGGAUAGAGCGUUGGCUUGCGGAGCCAAAGGUCGCACGUUCAAGUCGUGCCGGGUACACCA